This 330-nucleotide small nuclear RNA is filed under the name Echinops telfairi (small Madagascar hedgehog). Its description in RNAcentral is "7SK RNA (ENSETEG00000024297.1)". It matches the Rfam family "7SK RNA". From Rfam's summary of the family: 7SK was discovered as an abundant small nuclear RNA in the mid-70s but a possible function has only recently been suggested. The record is from RNAcentral. Lineage: Eukaryota; Metazoa; Chordata; Mammalia; Afrosoricida; Tenrecidae.
GGAUGUGAGGGCGAUCUGGCUGUGACGUCUGUCACCCCAUUGAUGGCCAGUCUUGGUUUGGCUAAGCUGGCUGGCUAGGCAGGUAUCUUCUUCCUCCCUCACCGCUCCAUGCGCUUGCUCGUGCGUGCGUCCCUCUUGAAGACGCUGUGCUGCUUGCUCCAUAGAAGAGGACGACCUUUGGUCAAGGGUAUAGGAGUAUCCAUGCCCCUCCGCCAGGACCUGCCAACAAACUCUCAAAAGAGGAUGUGGAAUGAGGGUUAUCAGUGCGUGUUGAUGUCAGAAAGAUAUUUAUUUACUUUUUAAUUGACUAUGCAAAAGCAUUCAACUUUG